This 484-nucleotide ribosomal RNA is filed under the name uncultured bacterium. RNAcentral's name for it is "partial 16S ribosomal RNA". It matches the Rfam family "Bacterial small subunit ribosomal RNA", at positions 30 to 507 of the family's 1533-position model. The record is from RNAcentral.
AUUGAACGCUGGCGGCAGGCCUAACACAUGCAAGUCGAGCGGAUGAAGGGAGCUUGCUCCUGGAUUCAGCGGCGGACGGGUGAGUAAUGCCUAGGAAUCUGCCUGGUAGUGGGGGAUAACGUCCGGAAACGGGCGCUAAUACCGCAUACGUCCUGAGGGAGAAAGUGGGGGAUCUUCGGACCUCACGCUAUCAGAUGAGCCUAGGUCGGAUUAGCUAGUUGGUGGGGUAAAGGCCUACCAAGACGACGAUCCGUAACUGGUCUGAGAGGAUGAUCAGUCACACUGGAACUGAGACACGGUCCAGACUCCUACAGGAGGCAGCAGUGGGGAAUAUUGGACAAUGGGCGAAAGCCUGAUCCAGCCAUGCCGCGUGUGUGAAGAAGGUCUUCGGAUUGUAAAGCACUUUAAGUUGGGAGGAAGGGCAGUAAGUUAAUACCUUGCUGUUUUGACGUUACCAACAGAAUAAGCACCGGCUAACUUCGUG